Molecule: ribosomal RNA, 253 nt
Filed under: uncultured bacterium
Lineage: Bacteria
Description: partial 16S ribosomal RNA
Rfam family: Bacterial small subunit ribosomal RNA
Source: RNAcentral
UACGUAGGUGGCGAGCGUUGUCCGGAUUUAUUGGGCGUAAAGCGCGCGCAGGUGGUGCGGUAAGACUGCCGUGAAAUCUCCCGGCUCAACUGGGAGGGGGCGGUGGAGACUGCCGGACUGGAGGGACUCAGAGGCCGGUGGAAUUCCCGGUGUAGUGGUGAAAUGCGUAGAGAUCGGGAGGAACACCAGUGGCGAAGGCGGCCGGCUGGGGGUGCCCUGACGCUGAGGCGCGAAAGCGUGGGGAGCGAACCGG